ACGAACGCUGGCGGCGUGCUUAACACAUGCAAGUCGAACGGAAAGGCCCUGCUUUUGUGGGGUGCUCGAGUGGCGAACGGGUGAGUAACACGUGAGUAACCUGCCCUUGACUUUGGGAUAACUUCAGGAAACUGGGGCUAAUACCGGAUAGGAGCUCCUGCUGCAUGGUGGGGGUUGGAAAGUUUCGGCGGUUGGGGAUGGACUCGCGGCUUAUCAGCUUGUUGGUGGGGUAGUGGCUUACCAAGGCUUUGACGGGUAGCCGGCCUGAGAGGGUGACCGGCCACAUUGGGACUGAGAUACGGCCCAGACUCCUACGGGAGGCAGCAGUGGGGAAUAUUGCACAAUGGGCGGAAGCCUGAUGCAGCAACGCCGCGUGCGGGAUGACGGCCUUCGGGUUGUAAACCGCUUUCGCCUGUGACGAAGCGUGAGUGACGGUAAUGGGUAAAGAAGCACCGGCUAACUAC
This 464-nucleotide ribosomal RNA is filed under the name uncultured bacterium. RNAcentral describes it as "partial 16S ribosomal RNA". It matches the Rfam family "Bacterial small subunit ribosomal RNA", at positions 29 to 504 of the family's 1533-position model. The record is from RNAcentral.